RNAcentral lists this ribosomal RNA (497 nucleotides) under uncultured bacterium. Its description in RNAcentral is "partial 16S ribosomal RNA". It matches the Rfam family "Bacterial small subunit ribosomal RNA", at positions 28 to 507 of the family's 1533-position model. The record is from RNAcentral.
GACGAACGCUGGCGGCGUGCUUAAUACAUGCAAGUUGAGCGAUGAAGAUUGGUGCUUGCACGAAGCUCAAGAGCCGCACACGGGUGAGUAACGCGUGUGGAAUCCGCCUUUCAUCGGGGGAAAACAUUUGAAAACGAAUGCUAAUACCGCAUAACAACUUUAAACAUAAUUUUUAAGGUUGAAAGAUGCAAGUGCAUCACUCACAGAUGACCCCGCGUUGUAUUAGCUGGGUAGUGGGGUAAAGGCUCAUCAAGGCGAAGAUACAUAGCCGACCUGAGAGGGUGAUCGGCCACAUUGGGACGGAGACAGGGCCCAUACGCCUACGGGAGGAGGCAGUAGUGAAUCGUCGGCAAUCGGUGAAAGACUGAGCGAGCAAGGCCGCGUGAGUGAAGAGGGUUGCCGGAUCGUAAAUCUCUGUUGUUAGAGAAGAAAGCUGGUGAGAGUGGAAAGCUCAUCAAGUGACGGUAACUAGCCAAGAAGCGACGGCUAACUACGUG